UAAAAAAAUUAAAGUAUAGCAGUUAGUUGAAAUUUUGAAGGUAGGAAGUAGUGAGAGAUAUAGAUGCACAAAAUAGAAGCAAAUAGAUUGUUGAUUUUGUUUCUAAUGAGAAUUAAGUUAUCCUGAUAAGAGGUCAUUCAGGCGGACAUGUAAUAUGAAAUUAGAUGAGGGUAAAUAAAAGGAGAAAUACACAUAUUGAAAAUGUUUAGAACAAUAAAAACAAUACUAAUCCAUAUUCUUUAUUACACUAUACACUAUAAAAUAAGGUUGAAAUUUUAAACCUGGAAUUUGGUUAUUCGGAGCAUGCACAUGCUUGAUUGAUCAUGAAGUAUUUUGGGGUUGGGUUAAUCCUGAUUUGUUUUUUGAUUUUUGCACCCUUAGUUGUCUUAUACAACUACCCUUAUUUUCCAAUGGAAUGUCAAAUAAGAGCACAUAUUAAAAUUUAUUGAAACUCUCUACAUCACAAUAAGCACACAUGUUGAAAUUUAUUGAAACACUCUGGAGAUAUGCCUUAUGAGUACCAAAAUUAAACACGAGUUAUUAUUUGAUAAGAUUUGUGUGGAGGAGAAUAUAGUAAGAAAAUGACAAAAAAAAAAUGUUUGUACAAAGUCGGUCAGCUGAAUGAAAGGAGUUGUACUAGAGUUUUUGGACGGGGCAACUUUAUGGGACACACAUUAACCCUUGGUAACUUCUCUCCAGAUUACAAAGGCUUACACAACUGGAGAGUACGUAGUGGAGGCGUGAACGGGGAAGUCGUCACAAUUGCCUGCUGCAGUGGUGAAUGAUGGCCCCAAAACCAGUGUCAAGCAGUCCAAGGGUUAGGUAAUCAGGGUUGUCACAUUCAGAUGCAAAGAUUAAAGCUUUUUUGCACCUCUAAGGACACAAGUACUUAGAAAAGGAUUUUUUUACAAAUGUAGUUACUGUAUUGAGUCAUUUGCAAUACAUGCACUUGAUAUUUUCGGAUCUGAUAUUUCCCUAAACGAUGAACCCUGUUCAAGCAAAACAAGUUUUGGAAAAUUACAAUUAAGUAACAAAAGAAACCCAUCAUGAAUGAGUAAAAUCUUACUUACUUCUACAAAUUGCCUGUGGGGCUUCAAAUUCUGAAAUUGAUAAGCUUCUCCUGAUCUCUUAACCUCUUUGCCAUCUUGCUAGACAUACGCAAAAAUAGAAAAUUUAUCAAAAAGCAGCUAAAUCACAACCAGAUUUUAAAAAAAAAAACAGGAUAAAAAUAUCGAAUUGAAGGAAAAAUAACUUAAAACUAUUUUUAGGUAUGAGAAAAACGUCGAAUUCAUCACAGUAGGGAAUGAGAAUGGAAAGACAAAGAGGAUACAUAUGAAGUGGUGGGCUACGUGUGUGUUAGUCAUGGGUAUAACCAAAUGGCUGAAAAGCCAAAUAUACCCUUAACUUCUAAUUUAUUGACGUUAAGCAGGCAUGUUGAAACUGUCUCUUCUAAUAUAUCUAAAAAUAAAA
This 1470-nucleotide long non-coding RNA is filed under the name Solanum tuberosum (potato). RNAcentral describes it as "long non-coding RNA (STUB_LNC011176)". The record is from RNAcentral. Lineage: Eukaryota; Viridiplantae; Streptophyta; Magnoliopsida; Solanales; Solanaceae.